This 886-nucleotide long non-coding RNA is filed under the name Cricetulus griseus (Chinese hamster). RNAcentral's name for it is "lncRNA (ENSCGRG00000024548.1)". The record is from RNAcentral. Lineage: Eukaryota; Metazoa; Chordata; Mammalia; Rodentia; Cricetidae.
UACAUUUGCCCAAAGCCAUCGCCCUCUGUGCUUAAGGAUCUUUGCAUUUCUCUCUACAGGAAAUAGACUUGAGGAGCUGGGCGUGUAGCUCAGUGACAGAGCAUUUGUCUAGCAAGCAAGUAGGUUUGAUUCCUCUCGCCAGGAAAAGCCGGAAUGUUUUAAAACUCAGAAGUGCUUGCUUAAGAGCGCAAGUGUGGGAACCUGCUAAUGGUUCCAUUUGUCUUAAUGCUCAACUCUUCAAGAAAGCACUUGAAUCAAGUAAAGUGCCGGGGGACUAGCCAGAGCCUCAUGAAUGCUAGUAAGCUCUCUCCCACACCACAUGCUGCACACAGCCAUGACGAGCCUACCCGGAACCAGAAAUGGCUUCACCGUGAGCAAACAGUUGCCCAGCAAUGGAAACCCUAAGACACCAGGCUUCUUGCUGGAAACCUGCAUGUUAGUUGAACUCGGGAGCACACGGAUCAGCUGGUACAUAGCCAUGGUGGACAUGGGAACUUGGACAUGCUGCUCAGCCUCCUUUACUGACCUGUAGGGCUGUGGAAAGGAACCCUCAGGAAGAGGAACAGCUCUGGUGGCCUAGCCAAGGUCUGUGCCACAAUUCCAGGACUUUCUGGCCAAUCCCCUCUAUGACAAGUGUCUGCAGUGGAAACUCUUGGAGAGGUGAGUAGUAGCGUCUUGCCUUGCCAGUGAAUUUGUGUUCGUGGCCACACCCCUUUGGGCGUGGCUUCCGGUGCUGGGAAGGGCGGGGAAGGUGGGGAAGUGGGAGGCAGGCGCGCUCUCUGUCUCUGUCUCUGUCUCUCUCUCAGAUCUCGGACUGCAUUUUCUGGAGCAGGAAAGCUGAGGCAGUUCUUUAUUAUUAUCUGUAUAAGUUGUUCCCCAAUAAAAC